GGAGAUUUAAGUGAGACGGAAAAGAAAAGAAACGAACGGAUCUUGAAGAGAAGCCAAGCGCUGCUACAGUGCAAAAUUUUUCUGACCAAAACGGGCGGAAAGCGAAGGAAAACUGAUGGAAGCUUACAAAUUUUUUUUUUAUCCUUUCUUUUCUCACAUAACUUACCCUUUCUCUUCUUUUCUUUUCUAUCCUCAACUCACAAACUAGCUAAAGUCCGUAGUCAAGAAACUCGAUUUUUGAGUAAAAAUCAGGGGAUUCAACUCUGGUGCAGCAGUUAAAGAAAUUAGCAGUGACUACCAGAACAUAACCAGGACCCAAAUUUAAAAAUGAAUCUUCAUCAAAACAAGAAAAAGCUUAAAUUUCAAACAUAAGAUAGGUUAACUAGCAUCGAUUAAAGGGAUAUGAAUUAAGAACCCUCAGUCAAAUUAUUUCAAGUCAUCUAUGCCGAAACAAGCUUAUAUUAAAUAAGACUUACAGGUGGAGAAGGGGAUGAAAGGAAGCCCAGCAGUUCUUCCAGCUCUGCCGCCAUUUCUGUGGAAGCCUUUUAACUAACUAUUUUACCAGCUCUUGUCCUGAACAAACCUAUUUCUGGGUUUUAUUAGCCUAUUGUCACGAAGUUGCGGCUUUUUUAAAUUUUUUUUAAUUACGCAGAAAAUAAGGGGUUAGCUGCGGUUGAGCGCUGUGCUGUAGAAUGAAGGCGUGACAUGAGAAACGCGCCUCCUGUCAUCUGAUUCUGAGCAGAGAAAGGCGCGGUUCUAGUAACUACAUUUUGACAGAAAUUGAAAACAACACGUCACUAUAUUUAUUUAUAUUUGAAGCAUCCAUAUAUGUUGUAUUUAGGAGUAAUCAGAAUUAAAAAAGAUGUGGACAAUUGAAGUUGCAUGUAUUUGUGACUCAAGUUAAAAAACUGAAGCUGCAUCUUACGUUUUUACUAACCCAAAUAAAAUUACAUCUUAAAUGUAUGAUAUAGAAGUAAUAUUCAAAAAAGAAUUCUAAUUAUAUAAAGUGAUGACUAGGCGUACAAAUUACCCAUCCUAUAAUAUCCUGUUUCUACCGCAACAAUUAGAAAUGUUACACAAAUUAGCACAAAGUCUAGUUAAUCGCGACUUCAGUGGAUCCUCAUGUCUUGAACCAAUAAGUGGUCUAUUUUUUUUUUUUUACUUCGCGCACCAACCCCCCCCCCCCCCUCCCCGGCGCAUCUCUUUCCCAGUAAAAAUGUAAAUCUGUCCUUAUUUUUUUCAAUAAUCAAAAUUACUGGAAAGCACGCAACAAAGUUAGAUUAAUACUUAGAGGUAAUCAAAAUUCUGGUGCAAAGUACAAUCUAAAGUGAAGCCCACAAACCAACACCAUCCAGCCAAUUGGUAACUGGAAGCGUGGUGUGGGAUGUUCCAUAUGCUGAUCACUGUACCAGGCUCCCCGCCACAAGUUGGAGAGAGAAGAUUAAUUUUUCAGAGUAGGUGUUUUAAUGACAUCUUUCUACUUAGGGAAAUUUCUAUUGGAAAGAUAAAAAAUUGGAGUUACAGAGCAGACAUGUUUUGGGGCAAUGUAGGUCUUUAGCUUGUGUCUCCUCUUUUCACCCUUUUCCUACAACACCUUUGCAUAAUGAGAGCUCAAAUAGAUACAAGAAACUUUUAACCAUCAUGUUCAACCUUUUUUUUUUCAUUUUUCUUUUACUUUUAAGAUUUUUUUUUUUGGAAAACUUUUUACUUCUAAGAUUAUUAGGGAUUCGCAUAGUCGGGCUAAAUUGGUGGUGGGUGACUAAUUCUUUUGUUCAUUGAUGAAAAAAGAAAAAAUUGUACAAAUGUUGUCUGAUAGGAGAAUCUUCUACAACUCUACCUGCCGUGCUUACUAAGCACGGUUAAAAAAAUUGGGUUGCUGCGAUGACUAAACUCGGCAUCCUAUUGGGAUUUUUUUUGAAAGAAAAAAAUCUGAUGGCAAAAAAGAGUGUAUUAUUAGGCAAGCAUGUGAUUUCCCUAUUAUUUAGACACCUGAUAGUGAAUAACUUAAAAAGUUUCAAAGAUUCUUUGUUUUGAUCUUGCUGAUAGAUAAGUUAGUCAGCAAAAGAAAAUCUAAAGGCAAUGAGUGAAAAAGACUGGGGGUAGAUUUUUUUCAUUUGUGUAAUCUGUUUCUUGGUAAAACUCAGAUUAUGAAAUUUUUGAAUUAAGAAUAUUGCAGUAUGACACUAUGACUCGUUUUUCGUAUGACCCCAAUAGUGAAUUAAUUAGGCAAGAAUGUGAAUGCUUUUAUACCGCUUUUCUUAUUUAAAAAUAAAUGAGAAAAUACUUGUGAAAUACUGGCCGUUUAAAUUCUAUAGUAAAACAAGCAACUUAAAAAUUAUUGUUUGAGGAAGAUCCCUAAAAGGAUUUUUAAAAAAAUUUACAGUUGUCUCUGUCCUUUCCCAACCCCUUCCAGGUUCCCAACCCCUUCAACACUGAAAUGUUGCCGUUUCAAUUUCAGUGUGCAGUGUUUCAAUUCAAACACUUCAUUUCUCACAAUGUUUCGAUAAAUUUCAUUGCCAAAAUUGUGCAACACCAUUGCUGGCCAAUUAAUGAAUUUGAGUGGUUACUAUACCAAUUUAAGCAUUUGUCUCGUUUAAACUGUUCUGUUGGAUUACUAUGUGGCGGUAGGGCUUGGAUAAGCUGUUCUAUUUUCUGGUUAGCAUUUCAAAAUGUACAUAGUUAAAGCAACUAAUCCAACCUGUUCCCUAAUUUAUCUAUCGUGUUUCUAAUAAUCUCUAAUUGGCCCUACCUCAAUUUUUUGCUUCCCUCCGCCGUGUCCAUUGGCCUUAAACUUCCCUUGAACAAUUCCAUUUCGUACUAGAAACACUAAAUUGCAGACACGUAAUAUUAUAAAACUAGUUGAAGAUCUCUAAUUUUAUUGGAAACAUGAUGUCAUGAAGUAAAAAGAAUGGAAAAUUAUGAGCAGACCGAAUCCAAGCACGAAGUCAACCUAGACCCAGUACGUUUUUCUUCUCCAAGAUGAACAAUAGUUCCAUUUAUCGGGAUCCGUUUUAUCUAAAUUUAAAACAGGCCGAAUAUGGAUCUACAUGUUCGGACUUGUUUUGGUCCCGGAUUUGAUCUAAUAUAGAUAUUUUAAUAUAAAAAUAAUAUAAUCAUUAAAAUUUGUUACUAACCAAUUUAUUUCCUAUUAAAAUAUUUAUUAAAAAUCAAAUAAUUGUUAGAAUUAUUCUCAUCGUAUUGUUAAUAUUGUGUUGAUAAAUUAAAAUUUAAAAUUAUCGAUAAAAUUAAUUAUUGAUUAAAUUUUAAAAACUACUGGGAUACGGCUUGGACCAGGCCCCGAUCCAAAGCUACAUAUUGAGACCUAUUGGGUACGGACCAUUUUAUUACUUACAUACCGGAGAUUUUUGUAAUGAUGCUUUCUGUUCAGCGCUGGCACUUUCCUGGGGAAGAAAUGGAACAGGUAGGAAUAAGAUUUGUUCUAGGGCGGAGUUUACUCAGCUAGGCACACACUUGGAUAGCAGCUGCGGUUCCUUAUAAAAAAAAAAAAAAUUCGUUCUAGCAAAAAAAAAUUAAAGAAAAAGGUGAUACAUUUGGCUUGGUUUUAUCUGUUGAAUUUACGUCUUCUUUUUUUUUUUUUUUUCUUAAGCAAAUUUUGAUGCUGUUGUUUUAGGCCGUAUGUGAACGGUAACGGCAGCAAUGGCAACCGUAAUUUCUUCUGAUGACAGGACUGCUGGAGUUCGUGCGUGCAUUUUAGCUAGCUUUUAGUCAAGAGGUCUAAGUUUAACCGUAUAUUUGCACCUUUCCGUUUUUUUCCUGCUAAUACUUUAUAAUCCAAAUGUGAGAUAAAUUCACAGCAGCAGCAAGUCACCAGCCACAUGUGGAUGCUCCUAAGAUGUGAUUUUAAGGGUCCGAGAUUUUGUUUCCAUAUAAGAUAUCCAUCACCCGGAUGCAAAGCAUGCAACCAUCCAAUUUAACGAGUGACGUCAACUGCACUGGCAGGAUGUGCACGUCUAAACAAUGAUGGAAAGAAGGCACCCGGGAAAGAAUGCACGCCUAAACAAAGGGUAUUAACAAGACGAAAUCUCAAUCAAUGUCAAGAAAGAUCGCAUGCAAGUUAAAAUGAACAUUUGCAAACUGUAAUUUGGGGUAAAACCCAACCUGACCCAAGAGAACAAGGAAUACACCAAACUAGCUUGCUCACGCAAGAUACCGAUACAAUCUUCUAUCUGAACUAUCCCUCUCCAAAAAAUCACGCUCAAUGAGGGAUUCAAUUCGUUUCUUUAUUUCUCCAGGAUUGGCCAGAAAACGAGAUUGCAACUGCUUGGUCACCUCUGCAAUAAUGUUGUUAUGAUCCAACACCCUCCGAGAUUUCAUGAUCCUAACUAUAGCAGCCUCAAUCUGGGGCUUCCUGUCCUCUUCAACCCUCUGACGUGUCUCCUGUUUUUCAGGCUCAGAUUCCUUCUGUGCAACUACAGUUCCUAUCUUCACCUUGUAAAACUUGCUUGUAAACUUAUCAUUCACAAAAAAAGCAUCUUCUUCUCCAAUAUCUUUGCUCAUUGGCUCUUUCCGAAGAACAUUCUUCCCCUUGACACAUGCCAGGGACUGCAAGCAUCUUCUCAAGUCAGAUGAAGGAAUCUCAGUCGCCUGCUCAAUUUCCUUGUAGCUGAGCCUAUCAGCACUGUUAAAUAGCAUGAGGACGCACAUCUGGUAAGUGGACACAUUCAGCUCAUGCUUUUGCCCUUUUCCAAAGAUUGCUUUCAGAUCAGCAGUCCCCAUGUUUGUUUGCCAGGAGAGCCUCCGACCUGUAUGUGUCCCAAGAUAAUAUGAACGGAACUUUUCACAAAGAGCAGACAUUUCAGCGGGCAGAUUGCAAGUGAUACUAGGUUGUGUCGGCCAGGACCCUGUUGUCAGAACCUGGACAACCAGUGUGGGACUAUCGCCUAACUCAGCAGCAUACGCAGCAUAAAACCCUUGCAUAGUAUCCUGAGAUGUUUUCAUGUCAGUGAACAUACCCUCUAAUUUUGACGUAAACUGAUACCCACAUUCCGUCUUCAACUUGACUAUCAGACUUCUCUCAGCAUCAUCAGAAACUGUUUUUCCUGAUAGAAGUCGUUUUGCCAAAUGCUGUUUGUAGUAUUUCUCAAAGACAUCCUUCUCCUGCAAAUACCGGAAAAGCAUCAUAACCUUGUCAAGAAUAGUCUCAACAUCUUCCUCACUGACUCCCUUCAGACCUUUCCGCAGUUUCUCGUCCACAAACAAAGAAAUGAACUCCGGAGAACGAGGAUUAAGAUUAAUGAAGUACUCAAAGGAGGAGUUCAAGGCAUUCUGGAAAGUUUUGUCAUUGCUAAAAGCUAAAUUUAUGAUUUUAUCAUACUUAUCUUUCUCAUUCAAGAGGCACUGGACAAAUUCGACAGGAUCCUUCAACUUCUCAGCAUCAGUAACAAGCUGCUUACCAGUUUCUCUUAAAUGUGAAGUCAUAACAUCUCUUAUUGUUGGAAGACCAUUAGGGACCCGGCGGAAUAAGUUGUACAUCCUCCCCAAAUCCUCAUACUUGUCAUCAAUUAGCAUAUUCACCAAGCCUGAAUUAUCCAUGUGAACUAGUCGAAGCAUGUGGCUCGCAAUCAUCUCCUUCUCCACGACAUUGGUAAUCUUAGUUUCACUCUUUGAAUCCAAGUACAGUGAGACCCUCUCGAUCUCUUCAUUUAGACGUCUUUCAGCUUUCUUAAGAUAGUCUCCACAAUCACAACAUUCGAUGAAAUCCUGUGAUUCUGCCCUGUAAAAAUCAGCUGAAACUUCAAGAAAAUGUUUCUCAAAGUCUUCUUGAUACACUGAAGAUCCCAAGUCCAUUAGCAUCUUAAUUAUAUUUCUCAUCAGCCCCCUGUUAAUGAUUUCACCAGUCCUUUCUUUUUGUAUGAGUUCAAGAAGCGUAUCCAGAAGCCUAGUCUGUAUCUUACUUGAAUGUAUCACAUUGUCCCUCCAGAGAUUUAGCCCAAGCUCAUGAACAGGAGUUUUACGAUUACUGGGAAUGAAAGUCCGGUCCAUGUACAUCAAUAUGUCACGGAUCAUCUGCAAUGCCUUGUUAUGAUCAUUCCAUUUUCUGUUAAGCUCUUCCAGGAACAAAUUACCUUGGGCCGCCUCUAUGGUUUUUGCCAUCUCUUGUAGGUGAAGAGUCAUUGUCCCUACAAGGCCUGAGUACAGCUUCUCACCAAAUUUAUGCAACACCAUGUUGUAAGCAUUUCUGGAGUAAUGCAAAUUAGACAUCAGAUAUAAAAAAGAAUUUACCAUACAACAAAACAUUUAUACCGAUGGGCUAAACAAAGACUUCUCAACAUGUGAAAUGCAACUGACAAGAAACAAAAAUUAUAUACAAAAAGCUAAUAAAAACCAAUCAUAGGAUCUCUAGAUCUGUAAGUCUAGGAGUACUGAAAUUUCCCGUGGUCAACGUUGACAUCAAAUAUUAUUACUGUGGCGAGGUACACAAACUCCUAUGCAAAACAGUUGUGUAACAUUUUAACCAUUAAGUCAUCCCAAAUUAAGCUUUUCAUAUACAGGACCCUGUCUACUUCCAUGCAAAAUAAUGGGGAAAAAGUUCUUGAAUCCUAACAACUUAGAGAAGCUAAAAGUUGAUUACAUAUGCAUUUGGGUACUUCCACAGGAUGACCAUAUCCACCUACUAAGAUUUUAAACAGAUGGUUAUUUGUCCUUUUCUGAUUUCUUUGAGUAGAGUAACAACAUCAGCUUGCAACUUCCUUCCCAAAAAAAAAAGGAAACAAAAAUUCACUUCUUAAGGUUAAACAACAUAAAUAAUAAGGAAACCUAAUACAUUUAUUCCAAGGAUAUAAGUAUGUAAUGCCACAGGAGUAUAAACAUUUCCCACAGUGAGCACUCAAAGACGGAACUUGCCAAAAACAACCAGUGUCAAAAUCAGCUAAGUAGCCAGCGAGUACUAGCGCUACUUCAGAUUUCUCUAAACCACAUAAGGCCUAGAAAUAGUGAAGAUUUGAUCCUGUUAUGUAGAACCGUCAAAAAUAAUCAUAGCAAACAAUCAUUGUCUGUCAAUGCAAUGAGAAGGCAGAUCACAUAGGCUGCACUUGAAUUUAAUUAGGACACCACAUGUCAUUCUUACAUGUGACAGCUGAAGCUCGAUAUACACCAAAAUAGAUGGCAAAUGUGACCUUGCAGAAAGGCAUUCCACCUCACUGAUAGCUCCCAACAAUCACACCAAUACUAUGAAAGCACAAAAAAAAAAAGGUAGGAGUGGCUAAAGCAAAUCAAUGAUUUGAAUGAAAACCCCUAGAAUCUAGGAAGUUCAUUGUCCUCAUGUAAAAUGACAAAGUACCACAAAAUCCAUGGUAAUAGUAUUGAUAAUUGCAUUCAUUUUAACUUUUGGUAAUGAGAUUGACACAAAAACAAGAACUACUCUCUUCAUAAUUCCGCAGAAAAGGUGUCCAUCAAAUGACUAAACCCAAUGAUUAACUUCCACAACCGAAUCAAAUAUUUCUUAUCAAAUAUUCAUCUCUACUAAUUAACUGACAAACCAAUGAUAUAAACACAACAUGGUCGUUGAGGAAAGCAUGUCAUUUUGCUUGUUGUCCAUAAAGGAAUGUACCAAGCUGUCAGAAGAGAGAGCCAGAAGUCAUGCUGCAGUAGCCUUUCCUUCCCGUUUACAUGUCAGUGAAAUUAAGAGUCAAAGAGGGAGAAAUCAAAUUCCAAAUCCCCCAGAAACCAUGCACCAAACCGAGUAACUAUCAACUUAUCCCAUAAAAAAAAAUUGAAAACUCGCAUUUCCAGCAAAUACCUAGACUGCAGUAAUAACUAACCGCCCCCCCCCCAAGUUUUAUCUCCAUUUACAAACUCAGUCCAGUCCAGCUAACACUAAGCAACAAAAAAUUUUCCGCCACAAAGAAAAAAAUAAACACGCACAACAAAAACUCAGAUUAAAUUAACAAAUCAUCAUACAAGAUAAAAUUAAUACCCAAAUUCAACUGCACUUCAAUCAGUGUAUAACAGAGGCAAAUAUCACCUAGAUUAAAACAGACAAACUGAACAAAUUCUAAGAAAAUCAGAAAAAAUGAAAAAGAGAUAAACCUAUAAAGCUCUUCGAAGCUGAGGCCACUGGCGUUAUGGUUGUAAAUCUCGGUAAUUGCAUGCUCCAGAAUCUUCCAAGUCUUGUCAGCGUAUUUCGGAUCCACCACCACUUUAUGCUUGAACGCCUCUAUCUGGAAAUUCCUCUUCUUCUGAUUACUACUAUUCAUCUUUCCCCAACCUAAUUGAAAUCCCUCUGCCUCUCUCAAUCUAAUAUCUAUACACUUAUAUACAGAUACCUAUGGAAAAUAAAAAACGGAAAAAAAAAAAAGAAUCGAAUCGAAGUUGAAAAAAUUCAGAAUCGAAAAGAAAAGAAAAGAAGGAUUUUAGGUCGUUCGUUCUAUGGGAUUAAACAGAUCGAACGGCUGAGAAAAGUUCUGAUAUAUAAAUUUGGAGAUUAUUAUUUUGGUGAGGGAAAAGGAAUUUUCUGGGGUUUGGGAACUGAAAUGGGGAGAAGCGGAGGAGGGGAAAGAAUUUGGGGCCAAAAAACCGAAGGGAGAAAACUCGAAAACCUUUGGAUGAAGUGGAUUUAUUAUUGUUUGGGGAGUGGGUCCUUGCUCGGGGAUGAGAUUUGGGAAGGAAAGGAAACGAAGAAAGGAGGCGAAGAAUCUUUUUUAACUUACUGGAUGCAAUUUGUCUCUCUCCGAGGAAAGAAAAUGAAAAAAGGAAGAAAAUAACAAAAGAGGGAAUUUACACUGGCACAACAAGUAGGGGAUUAGAAAUCCUAUCGUUUCGGGGAAAAAAAACAAGUAGGGAAUUAGAAGGAUUUAGCAAGGUGACUAAGGCUAGCUACGGUUCAGGUUUGAAUCGAACUGAAUGCAAUGGUUUGUUAAAUCAGAAUAGGAAUAGAAUUUUAGAAAUUGGAAUUUACAUCAUAAUCAUAACUAAAAAUUUAAGUUUAGAUUCAUCAAAUUUUUAAACCAAACUCAGAAUUGGCAUUUACAAUAUGCUCAAGUCGUCUAAAAAAAUAUAUUUGUUUUCUAAACCCAUUCGACUGGUUUAAAAUUCUAUAUUAAUAGUCAACAUUUAAUACCAGUAAUUCCAAUCCGGAGCCAACAACUAGAGUGUUUGGAUAGUGUAUUAUUUGGAAUAAUUACUGUAGCAUUUUUUGUGAUGUGAUGUAUGUGAGAUAAAAAGGUAGUUGGAAAUAUAAAAAGGUGAGUUGAAAAAUGUGUCUAUGAUGCAAGCGAAAUAUUAUUUGGGAUAAUUGAGGUUCCAUUCCACUAGUACGUCUAUAUCUCAUGAUUAAUCUAAAACUAAUCUAAUCUAAUCAACAAUGCACAUAUUGUUUCGCAAAAUUUGUAUCAUUUUUAUCUUUUUCCUUGUACAUGAUAAUAGAAUAAUUUUUUUUGUUUUUUUAAUAUUCAUUGUCAUAUUUUUAGAAUCAGCUUUUAUAACAUCAAGUGUUUGAACGUAACUAAAAGAAUUGAAACCGUAAUUGGAUGAAAUCGGAAUAGUAACUGAAAUCGAAAGUUCAAGAAUUAUAACCGUAACGGUCCUAUAAGGGUUGAUUUAGAUUCCAUCUUUCAAAAGAUUCAAAAUCAUCGAUUUUUAAAAUGGAAUUAGUAAUUCUAGAAUGGCAGUCAUGUCUAAAGAGGAGUAAGAAAAAUAAUUUCUCUUGUUUUUUUCCUUCAAGUUGUCUUGCCUUUUCCGCGUUUGGUGUUUGCUUGCUGGUUUGGGUUUGGUUGGAUUGGGAGUUGGAGGAAGGAAAAGAAAUGGAGGAUAAUUUUUCAUUGGUAUUGUUCGUGGAUUUGGUUUUAGUUAAUUAAACGGAGAAUGUUUGGAGGCCAAACAAAAAGAAACGGUUAAAUGAAUUUGCGCACAUUUAACAAAAGGAGAAGUAGAAUUUGUGCACGUCCGUCAGCCGUCUCUGGAGUUUGUGGACUUUGGACUCUUUUUUUUUCAUUUGCCAUUGUAGCAGACAUUAUUAAUUCAUUUUUAUUUUUCAUACCAAAAUGUUUGAUAUUUGCAUCAAUAUCAUUCAAACUGGGCUCAGAGAAAAAUUGGGUUGGGUUGAGAACUUGACGUUGUCAUCACUAAUCAGACCAAACACAGAGGGUAGUGUUUAUUCUGGUCGGCAAAUUCAGUCGUCCAAGCCCAAACUAUGAGCUGACCAUUGCUAAAACCCGACCCGUUGACCAGCUCUCCACUUCCACUUCGCUUAACCUGUAAGCUGCCAAGCGCGUCAUCCUCAAGCUGACCGCCAGGCUUUUCGGCUCUUCCACGGCUCUCCGCUGUCCUAAGCAGUUGUAGCAUAUAUAUAAGAAAUCAAAAAAUCUACUGGAAAAAGAAGAAGAAGAAGAAACUGAACAACACCAGACUCUUCUUCCACGACAUCAAUAAAUUUCUUAUUUCUCCUUCAAUCUUCGGUAAAACGGCAAUUUUCUUUUCUCGGUCCUCAUUUUUCAUUUCAUUUUCGUCUUUAAUUCAAAUUUUCCUCUAAUUUUCUCCAGCGGCAAUUUAAAAAAAGAAAUGCCUGAAGAUAUAUCCGCUGAACGUCCAUUGUUCGGGGGCGCCAUUUCCAGUACUUUCCCUCUCCGCUUCCAGGUUAAUUAAGUAAUUUCAUUUUUUUCGGGGUUUAUAUUUCUUCUUUUAAAUUUUGAUUUAACUAUCUGUUGAAAUAUUUUAAUUUCUUGCGGGUAAAUUGAUUUUAGGAUGUGAGCAACAUUCGGCAAGUACCUGAUCAUCAGGUUAGUUAAACUAACUCUUUUUUUUUUUUUUUUAAAAUAAUAAGUAAACAGAUUUUGUUCGAACUCUUUUGAUUUUGUAUUGCGUGAAUUAUUGAGUUAAAACGGUGUGAUUAAAAAGGAGGUAUUUGUGGACCCUGCACGAGAUGAGAGCUUGAUUUUUGAGCUUCUGGACUUUAAGGCUGACGUGGCCGACAAUGGAAGUGCCACGUGGUUCCUACAAGACCUUGCCGCUGAACAAAAUGCGGAGGGAGCUACGGUAAUGGCAAACUCUUUUUUUUUUUUUUGGUGUAUUCGCACGCCGCCGGCAGUCUUUUAAUUUCCUUUCUGCUUCGUCAUUCUGUUGAAAGACUUGCUUCCCAAAGAUUUUAAGGAUAUAAGAGUUGCUGAUGCCCUUUUGAUGGUAUCCUUGGUUUGUUACUGUGAUUUCCUUUCGACCAUCCACCAUUUGUUUCUGUCGGUCCCAUUUAUUGUAUCAGUUGUCUACAAAAAUUUCUGAAUUUGCUGUUUUUCUCCACGUGGUAUUUAAUCGUAGUUUAGAAAAUUGGCUUACCUGUGGUUGUCUUAUACUUUCACCACCAUUGGUGGGAUGAACUUGUGUUGUGACUUGUGAGUUAAGCUCAUUGUGCGGGGGUAUGCGUUUCAUUGAAUCUCCUACAAGGAAUCUUCUUCUCUAUUGAACUUCUGGGAAUUUUUGUCUAGUUUUGACGUAUCAUAUGGAUUAAAAAUCAUGAUUUAUUGUUAGCUUCAUAAUGAGAAAAUGGUUGUUACUGGGACCUGUAAAAUGUCUAAUUUCUCUUUGAUUCGUGUGUACAGUCAUUUCUCAAUGUACUUGGGUAUGUAGACGUUUAUCAAAAUUUGUAGGUAUGCCUGAUAGUUUUUGUUAAGAUUGAUUAGUUAUGCUGGAGUCAGAUAUAUCAGCAACAGUAGCUUUAUGAUGGUUAAUUAGCUUUACUUGUGUUUGUUUAAUUUGCUGAAUUUUGUUUCUGUAUAGAGCAUAAUAAAACCGUAAACUAAACUUCUAUCGUCAUAUUUCAUCCAUGAAAAAUGCUUUUGGGUGAUUCUUUGACAAGCAGAACAUAGAAGUUUUCAGUUUUGGCAUUGCUCCCUUGACAUAUUGGGCCUUUUUUAAAAUUUCAUGAACAUCAGAUCAGCAUUUGACAUGAGCAUUGGCUGUCAGUUCAACAUUAUGUUGCGCAUUCUUGAAAAUGCCAUUUUAAGUUUCAUGAGUUGCAAUGACACCCCAUCACCUUGGAAGACAGAAGUAGAUGAUGGGAAAGUAACUAGACAAGAACCAAAUUCAUUUGCAGACCAAUUAAUUCGAGCUUCACCGUGCCAGGCAGAAAUUUUCUCACUAUUCAUUGUUCUUUUAAUCAUGCAGAAUAUUAUAAUUCGGCUCAUGAAAUAAAAAGCUGAUGCUCAUUAUUCUGUUAACUUCUUGUUUCAGGUGAUUGAGCAGUCGGGUGUUUUUCAAGCUGAUGGAUUGCAGUUUGGAGAUAUGCCCACUAUCAUUUCUACUGCUGUUGGCCAAAUGGUAUGCUCUUCUCCAGAUAUAAUGGAUGUGCGUACUCAGUUUACAUGCAUUUUUCCUUGUUAUUUGUCACAUACAACUUGAACAGUAUUGAAUGGUAUGCUGGCACAGGCUUCUCAGCUCAAGUUUAAAUCAAGUAUCUGGAGUGAAAAUGUGUGCGGACCAACUCCUUAUGUUUGUUUACUCUCUCAUUCAUUGUGCUUGCUGUUGAUUUGUAGGCCAUUUCUAAGGGAAGGCAAGGCAGGGGAGCCCAAAACUUAGUAAAGGUAGGUUUGCAUGCUGAUUUUUAGGAGUGCCAUACGUAAUAGUGUGAUCUGAGAAGUGGAACCUGACAAUGUUAUUCACCAGGUGUAUUUGGCAAAUUUGCGCCUUAAGGGUGUUGCAACAGAUGUUCUAAUCACAGCCUAUGAGCCUAUAGUUAUAAAGUAAGUUACAGAACAUGUUACUCAUAUCAAAACUUAUGAGCUUCCGUAUCACCGGGCUGCCCUCUAUUAGAUAUCUAGUUGGUCUUCAAUCAAUCUGUCAUUUUCUUCAAUCAACUGGGCUGCCUUCUAGUAGCCUCUUGAAUUUCAUGUAGUUCAAUUGGUUAUUGAAUCUGUUAGUUCCUGGGUUAUGGAGGGAGUUUUUCUUGCUUUUAUGGUGUACUUUCUCUGGCUAACUGAGCUUUUAUGCUCUGCACUGCUGCUGAUGCAUUUUUUUUCCUCUUCUUUCUUUCUUUUCCAUUUGCUUUUGUAAACGUAGUCCCUUGAGUGAAAGUGCUAUAGCUGUUGGGGCCGGUGUUGCUGUUCCUGCUGCACAGUCUGGAUGCAUGCCAAUGAAUGAGGUUUUUCAACUUGCUGCCACAAGUUUUAAGGUGAAUGAUUGGAGCCUCUUUGGUGCUGCUUCUUGAGAAGUUCUUGGAGGGUCUGUGAUAGCUCGAAAGGAAUGUCAUGCAGAUCAGAUUUCCUAAAUUCUAGCCUUUACCGUGAAAUGGGUCAAUUUGCUUUUUUGGCAGUGCAGGAAAUUUGCUUGUGCUCAUCUUUUAUGUCUGGUCUGACCAUUCAAAUACGAGUUCUAGGUGGAUAUUAGUCUUAGUAGGCUUUGUUGUAGUCAGAAAUCAAUUUGGCAGCGAUUGACUAAUUGUUUUACCUUUUGGCAUUGCAGUUUUUAGUGCCCCAUUCAGAUCUUCGAAUUCGUGCAGGAUACACAUGCUAAUCAGUUCAUUGCACGCAUUCUAAGAUGAAAAAAGGGUAAUUAUAAGCAACAAACCCAGUUGCGCGUCUUCAUUGCUUCUUGUGAAGUACAAUGCUUCGUGCUUGCUGUAGUGCAAACAGAAUAAGAGCUUUAGAGUUUAAAGAUCUACUGAGAUUAUUGUUGUCUCUAGGAGGUGAAAAAAGAGAUGAGGAACGGCAAAGGGAACAUGAUAAAGAAGGAAAAGUGUGGUCAAUAUUGUUCUAGAAAAAGUAAAAACCUUGACUGGGGGAGAACAUGGAACAGGUCUGUACAAGAUUGCUAGGGGAGAAAAAUGAACACAAAAGAAAGACAAGUUAUUUGAUGACUAGAGGAUGACCAUUGUGAUAUUGGCAUCCCUUCAAAGAGUGUAAUGGCCAUGGGCCCAGUUGGACGAAUGAUUUGUUCGAUAUGCUUUUGUGCACCCGUCAAAUGUUGCAUCACCAUCAUCAAAAAGUUUAGCAGUAUGGAGAAAUUGUGAAAUAUGCCAUUGCCGUCCUUUUCUUUUGCCUGCAAAGUUGAGGAAAUCCUCACACAGUGAAUUCGACUUUUUCUCCGCUAAAACAUGAUCUGAUGGAAAAGUAGAAGACAAAGCCAAAGGAGAGACACAGAAUCCGCUGUAUGUGUCAUUUUUCGAUUCAAAUGCAAGAAUUCUACUUGAUGUGAAUUUCUGACGAGAGCCAUCUGUCUAGACUGGCAACAAGUACAAAAAUGACCCCAAAAAAGCUAAUUAGGUGCAGCUUUAAUAUCUCUGGUAGAUUUUUCGGUUGCAAACACGGAGCCCAAGGAAAAUGAGUAUACAUACUGUUGAAAUCCUAUCCGUCAUUUUAAUUUUAGCAAGAGCCAAUUGAUAAUUAUGGCCUAAAAUACUCGAUCAAUAAGAAGAAGAGGGCAGGAGGUUAAUUUGGGAUUAGGCUUAAUUCAUUCAGCAAAAGUCAUUACUGGAGUUGGAAAAAAAAAAAUAAGAAGAAGAGGGCAGGGUCUUCCAUCUCAUAUUUUAGCUGACUAGCUGAGUUAUUGGUCCUUUUGCAGUUGCAAGUGUCAUUCAGCAGCAUGCAAUUGCCCCCACCAUAAUGUUGCUCGCACAAUUCUAGUUCCUAAAUCUGGACUUUUGGGGUUCUCAUGCUGUCCUCACUUUUCUCAAUUUCUUCGUGUUUAUACUCUGUAAUGUACUGCAUACCCUAUAGAUAGUGACGUAAAAUUUCCUAUUAUCCCAAAAGUACGCCCACUUUGGCACGUAAACUACUUAAUUGUGGACUUAGUGUACUAUAAUCUUUCAUUUAUUAGGUCGAUUCAAGAACUGCGAAUGGAAUUUCCUGUGGCUUGGACUUCGUUUCACAAGAAAAAAGCAGCAUGGAAUUUAUUCCUGCCUACAAAUUCUGACCUUCCACCAAAGAAUUAGCACUGUACAUUAAUUUCGGCUAAAAUCUUCCACCUCUGGUCCAACAUUAGAACACCUACAGCACCCCAAAGAAGAGAACAAAAAACAUUAGGACGCCUAGAUUGCUAAUCGCCGAGUCAUAUUUGAAGUGACUUCGUAAAUUUCUUGAAAAAUGCCGGAGUCCCAUUUGUUAUUUAGCUACUCAGCAAGUCAGCGAUCAGCACUAGGAAAAAACUUUAUCAAAGCCAGUUGGAAAAAUUCAAAGCAACUAUACCUGAUUGGAACAGCCAUAAUUAACCAACCUCCAUGCCUGUUCUGACUUUGCCGACUAAUUUUUUGCAUUGAAAAAAGUAGAUAAGAAUAAUCUGCAAAGAGGUAACGAUAGAUAAUGUAUUAAUGUCCCCCCACUUUAUCACCCUAACCGUCAAAUUCAGGUGAUACGAACAUUGCUCUAGAGUGAUUCGAGUAAACCAUUUUCAGCAAAGAAAGAGAUGAAGGCGGCAACUAGUAGAGGGACGAACGAUCAUAUUUGCCAGUAGGGAGGCUAGAAACUAAACCAGAUGAAACACACAUGUAUUUAAUUUGCUCUGUGAAUCAGUUAAGUUCGAGUUGUACCCUCACAAACUUUAAAGAUAUCUCCCAAAACAAAAAAUUCCCUUUCACCCUUUGCCCAAAAGAUAACCAUUUCUCUUUUUUCCAGCUUCAAUUUCUAUUCAAAGGUUGGGCGGCAGAACACGGAGAAACUCCACUCAAUAAUUGAACUGAUGAUGAUACAAGCGAUGCAUUCGUUCAAGUGGGUGUUCUUGAAUUUGAAGCAUUAUUGCAGCUGUUGAAGUCUUGAAGAUAACGAACUGACAGGUUAAAGAAUGUUCUAUGGCGGUGUGUUAUGGGCAUAGCGGACUUGCUAUGCUGACCUUGACAUAUGUGAAUGUGAACCGGACCAGACUUUCAGCAACCUUAAUUAAUAUCAUCAUAGACGCGGAAAAACAAUUGUCUCUGUCAGCAAUUUCUUUUCUUUAUUCGUAUAUGACAAUUGUAGCAUUUUUUUUUAAUAUGAAAGGAUGCCCCAGAAUUAAAUUGUUUUGACGGCUUUUCAUAAUAUACAAUAUUUUGAAUUAGCGUUAAAAACCAUAUAUUGAAAUUGGUUAGUAAAUAUACAAGGACAAGUAACAAACUUUUCAAUCUUCAACUAUAACAAUCAUAUUCUCAUAGUUUUUGUGAUAGAUUUAUAGUUGUACUUCUUAAACCAAAGUUUAUAACAUUGUGAUACUUUUCUGUGAUAUGAUAUGUGUGCGAUAAAAAAUGUAUUUACGAUACAAUUAUAUUAUUAUUUUUUUUUCAAAUGUUGUAUUCAAACACAGUCUCGCAUCCUUAGACUCCAAUAAUUGAUUCAGAUUUUCCAACGAAAAAAAGGGGAAAAAAAAAAAAAAAACUCUUGCAUGCACGGACACUAUCAAUGCUAUAUGAGCAUUGUCAAAAUCAGGGUGGAUAAAUCUUAAUGAUAUGGAACAAAUUAGUGGUUGUGGUUGCCGAGCGUGGCGAUGGAUGGAAAUUUGACAGGGAAGGAUCGUAUGCAUCAACGGACUUUAACAGGCGCCAGUCAAUCUCGCGCAAAUUAGGAAUUUGAAAUUUGUGCACUUGGUUGGUGCAAGAAACCUAUCGUACCAUUGUCCGAUUCAUAUGUACUACCUUAUAUUUUUCCAGGUACCAUCAAAUCCAUUGCCAUAUCAAAUUAAUGAUACUAAUUGGACUUGUGCCACGACUCGGCCCAUAUCCUCCUAUUAAACUUAAAAUACUAGUGCAAUUGGCAAAUAUUUAGAAUAUUUCUCUACGGGUUCAAGAUAAUUCUUUUGAUGGCAUACACGCAAGAUUAAAAGUAAAAAAAAAAAAAAAAAAGAUUGAAAAAAAAUGUAUGAUGCCUAUUUGUCCAAAUGGAAUAGCAUGACUUAAUUGAUUUCUUGAGGGAGGUGAAAUAGUAGUGAAUGAUGGGAUAGAGGUCAAUUUUUGUAAUAAUUCGUUAAUUACAAGGAAAAAAGAAACUAAAGAAAAACUAAUCCGAUGAAGAUUAUCAGCAUGUGACAUGACAUAUCUAAUCCGGUGGUUGUUGUAGUGUCCACAAUCGGAAUGGAAUGGCAUGAGUCACUUGAAUGAUUUCUUGAGGGAGCUGAAAUAGUGAAUGAUGGGAUAGAGGUUAAUUGUUGUCAUUCGUUUAAUUACAAAGAAAAAUUAAGCUAAUGAAAAACUAAUCCGACGACGAUUAUUAGCAUGUGACAUGACAUAUCUAAUCCGGUGGUGGUUGUGGGGCUCAUAAUCGGAAUUGCAUGGAAUAGGAAACUUGGCUUUCAAACAUCAAACAUAACCAACGCUAGGAUCAUUACAAUUCAGUUGACAAACACGAGUCAAAUGUACAUCCUAAUUGGUACUAUUAUCAAUUUAAUUAUGUCCGAAAUUCAUGGUGGAUGCAUUGCUUAACGUACAUAAUAUUUACCUAAUCUAACAAUUAUUAUCCUUUCUUGCAUUUAUAUAUUUUUCCUAUUUAAUCUUACCUAUCCUCCUUAUAUUUAUUUACUUUCCCUAAUUAAUAUUACAUUUCCAAAAUAUGACACCUAAAAAAUUAGAUGGUAUAUAUGGCUUUGUUUGGAUUUCUCAAUUUUUGAAAAACAAGUUUUUUUUUUUAUAUACAAUGCUACAAUGAUAUACAAACAAAAACAACUCUAAAAAUACCACAUCCAUACAAUAUAUCAAAAACAACUCCAAAUAUACAAAGAAAAAUACACCACCACCACUACUAUCCAUCACUCUCCACCACCACCGCCACCACCCCACCCCCACCCCCACUACUCUCCCUUCUCUCUCCUCUCUCCCCCCAUCUUUCCUUCUCCUGCUCAUUUCUUCCUCUUCUUCUCCUUCUUUCCAUCCCUUUCCCCGCCCCUCAAUUCCCCUUCCCCUUCAUUGACCGCAACCCUCCUGGUUGUGAGUCUUGUAACCAAAUUUGAUCCCCACCAGAAAGGUCGUAGCUAGAGUCGCAGUUACCACUCGCGAGUGGGAGAGGGGUUUGGGGUUGGGGGAAAGAAAGGGAGAGGAAAGAGGGAUGAGGAGGAAGAGGGAUAGGAAAGAGAGGGGAGGGGAGAAGGAGAGGAAGAGAAAGGAGAGAGAAGUAGGAGGAGGGAGGGGGUAGUGGUGGGUAGUGUAAAAUUUCAAACAAAUCCUCCAAAAAAGUUAUAAAUUAUAAAAAAUAUCCCAAAACAUAUUUUAAAAAUACCUCUAAAGAGUAAAGACAAUCCAAAAAAUAUUUACAAUAAAAGUUUUUCAUAUACACAAUUACAGUAAAAUUUUUGAAAAACACCUCAAAAAAUAGCUAAUCCAAAUAGAUCCUAUGUUAUUUUUGAACUGUAUACACUUUUAAAGUAUUUUUACUUUAGCUAUUCACUGUAUGUUCAGAAAAAUAUCCAUGAAUGCCUAUUGAAUAUCCAAACUCACGAGAAUUCGGGUUUGGGUUUUCUUUUUCAAAAUCAUAAGGGUCUAAGUCUGGAUCUGAAUUUGAAUGAAAGAAAUCUAUCCUAGAUACUACUCAUGAGAAUCCGGGUUUGGGUUUAUUUUUUCAAACCAACAAAGUAUAGGUCUGAAUUUGGGUCUAAUUAAAUUUAGUGGGUCUGAAUUUGAAUAAAAGAAAUCUAACCCAGAUUACUCAAUAACAUGCUUGCAUGCCUACGUACAAUAUGGACUACAAUUGUGGCUUACAAUUGUAAGGGCUCCUCAUCUAUACGUACAUUACAGAAUUCAUUAUGUGAAGUUGUCAGCUCACCCACCGGUUUCGCCAGAGAGGACAGAGAAUGAAUUUUCAUUGAUGAGCUGGAGAUGACUGCCCGCAAAUGACAAAACCCUCAAAUCUAAAUAAUUGAAAGGCAUGUGUGAGAAAUUAGCAGUCCUCAUUUGUUUCUUUCUCCUUCCUUCUUUUUUUUUUUUUUUUUUUUUGCAUUUUCAUGAAAAGAAAAAAUCAAGAAGUUUUUUGGAUUGUAAAUUAUUUGAGAUAAUUUUGUGAAAAUGUAUUGUAACAUUUUUUUGAUAUGAUGUAUGUGAGAUAAAAAGGUAAUUAGAAAAUGUGUUGAUGAAACAAGCAAAUCAGUGUUUGUAAAUAAGGUGUAAAUAAAGUGAAAUAGAAGACAAUCCAAACACAUUCAUAUAUAUAUAUAUAUAUAUUCUUUCUCGAACAUUAUAAGUUAAGUUGCUUCUACAUUUCUGUUAUUUGGAAUUGUAAUAGCAUAAACUGAAAGCUUCAAAAAAAAAAAAAAAAGGCCUGAAAGCUUAAAGAAAGUGCACCAAGACACAUUAUGAUGCUACUUGUUAAAGCAAUAAGACUGCUUUAACAAAUCCAAAUUUAUCUGCUCAUAUAGCCUCCCAACUUUCCGACCUGUCAUUCCUUCAUUUGCUCUUGCUCCUGCUCCUUUUUUUCUUGUUCCCCGUGGUGGGUCAAAUAACUGACAAGCUUAUAGGAUAAACUUGUUUGGAAGAUCGCACUAAUGCCAAGUUGUUUGGAACGAGAGAAAUGAUUUAACCAACUGAAAAUGAGUUGUGAGGACAACCAUUCAAAAUUAAUUUGCUGUCAAGCAUUCCAAAAAUCAGUCUGAGUUUCUAUCUAGUAGUAUUUCUUUUUCUUUUUCUGUUUUCCAAUUUGAGGGCCUUAAAUUUUGUACUUACACAAGAGUAAACCGCGUAAAUUCAUAAAAGCAUGUCACAGCUCCCUUUUUUUUUCCUAGAGCAAUUAAUAUGUUGAUUGAAAUGUUAUCUCUGCGCUAGAAUCAUGCAUGUAUUUUCUAUCAUAACAAAAUCCGGAUGGAGGGAAGACACAGUGUUGGACGUCAAGGCAUAGACAAAAAAUUUUAAUAACUUCAUCCCCUUUUUUCUAUUUUGUUCUUUUCCUCUUGCGUGAAAUUUAGACCAAUUAACGUCCACCAGAUUAUUCGAAAAAGGAGAAAGCCAUUCUUCUAGCAGUGAUUGUUGACUUUCAUGUAUAGUCGUACUAAUUGAGCACAAGGUCUCAAGAAAAGAAAACUAAACUUCGAGAGGAGCGAGUUGCUUGACCUUUGAAGUGCGAAUAACCUCCAAAAUUCCGACAAAUUUGUUUGGAUGAUUGGCAAUGGCAGAUGGAGAUGGUAUGCGAUGGCUGGUAAGCCAUCUUGAUCAAACACAGUAUGAGGAGGUGGCAUAGCACGUGAUUUCUCUCAACAGGCAUCGUGAUUUCGUCACCCAAACCUAAUUCCAUGGCCCAUCUCUUGAUCACAGGAAGCUGUGAGAAUGUAAUUGACUCAAUCUUGAAGUUGCUACAUGGACUCCUUUGGGCCAUGUUUCUUGUUACGGUUAGGUUGAAUUAUGCAGUGUGAAAGCUUUUCUUUCAUACGUACAUUGAAUUAUGGAAUUGCAUGCAAUUCUUGAGAGUACCAGUAAUUCACAAAAAGAAGAUCUGUGAAAAUACACAUGUGGUGUAAGACAACCGGUACAUUUUUCGUUUGAAAAAGGUGAGGUUAUCGUUUUCAUUUGUGAAGGGUCCUUAGCUUUUGUAGUUUUUACAAAAUUUUUAGGCAAAUUGGAAGUCAUGCAUGCUAACUUUUUAAUCAAAUGCUGUCUUGACGACCAUCACGGUGUAUUCAUCAAGUGUGGUUUCAUCUACCACAUCUCACCAGGGGGAAAAAAAGGAGCAAAGAAAAGAAAAAAUACACGAAACAUCAGAGUGGAUUGAGCUUUGUUUUCUUAUUCAAUUGAAUACUUUUACUCUCCAUAAAAAUAUGAUAAAUGUCCAAUCAUGGUUUUUAUUUCCCCUCCCUAACCAGCUAAACAUGCAUGCAUCUACAGCGGCAAAUUAAUUAUCCCCUUAAAUGUUUGAUUUGCUUGACUUUUGAGUGUUAUUUUUUGCAAAAAACUUCUCUGGUUUGAGAAUGCAUGCAUGUAGGCAAGAGCCAAGGGGUCCUAUGUUGAAGAAAAGCGUGUUGGUGUACUUUUACCACCAUUACACAGGUAUUCAUUCAUUCAGGCUGAAACAAAAGCAAGCCAAAAGAAAGGUUGAGACCAGGUGUUUCUUGCUAGGGCUUCUAGCUCCUGUACCCUGACUGCAUAUCUCGUUUGAAAAGAAAAUUUGAAGUUUUAACGUGGGGUUCUUUUUGUUGAUUUUUUUUUCAUUCUGAGUUAAAAUUGAAACCAAAAUCGAUUUGGGAGAGAAAGGCAAACAGGCAAUCAUUGCAUCAAACAUAUGGGGAGCCGCUUUAUCAUCUUUUCGUUCUCUCUCUUUUCUUUAAUUUCUUCUUCUUCUUCUUUUUUUGGGGGUGGGGGGGAGGGGGAGUGGUGUUUGGGGACUGGGGAAUAAAAAUCCAUGCUUCAGUAUUUUGUAUUGUGGGGUUGGGUCCCUUACCUCCAGCUCCCCACUGUCUCCAUGCAUAGAUCCAAUUGAAUGAUAAAGAACACCACACGUGGAGUCUGAAUCAAGGGACUGUCCAACCACAAUAAAAAGACUUACCCCGGUUACAAAUCAAGUUUCUGAAAAAAGAAAAAUCUAGUCGUAAAAAUUUCAAAAUUUACAUUAACCUCGCAAUAGAAAAUUCUUUUCCAGUUAUACUGCUUUCCAAUAUUAUAUCCAACAAAUAAUAAUCAAAGAAAAAUUUUCCCAUAUGAUCCCACUCCCCAUAUAAUUCCCACUCAUUGUGUUUGUUGCUUAAAGCUUGCACUCACUCUUCCCUUAUCCCAUAUCUUUCUUUUCCUCUUUCCCUUUCUCUCUCAAAAAAAGAAACCAAGAAAACCAGCUACCAGCUCCAUCUGAAAGAUGCUAGUGAUAUGCUAGCUAGCAAUAGCUUAGGGAGAAAUGGAUAAAUAGUUUUUCUUUAUUCAACGAAAAGUAGUAAAAGAAAAGAGGGAAGCGAGAGCCCACAAAGGGGCUCAACUCAAUUGAGGGUCAUCCAAAGCUAGAUAGAUGUACUACUAGCCCUUUAGCCAAAGAAUAUAGUAUUUCUUUUACUAGUAUAUGAGCAUGGAUGCUGAUAAUGCUCAUCUUGUUGUUAAUGCAAUUCGCAGGUCAAAUUUCCCACUUCAACUCCUAGAGAAAAGAGAUCUUCAUCAGCCAUCUAAUUGCUCUACCUCCAUCUAUCCCACCUUAGCCAUCGGUUCCAAUUCUACUACUUCUACUACUCCGGUUGAUGCUGCUGAAACCAGUGGUGCAGAUCGGCUCGAGGCAGCAGCUAACAAGAAGACUCAGCCUAAAAGAACUUCAACAAAAGAUAGGCAUACUAAGGUAGAGGGCCGUGGCCGACGGAUCCGCAUGCCAGCUACUUGUGCUGCAAGAGUUUUUCAGCUUACUAAAGAAUUAGGCCACAAGUCCGAUGGUGAAACAAUUGAAUGGUUGCUACAACAAGCCGAGCCAGCAGUUAUUGCCGCCACGGGGACUGGAACCAUCCCGGCCAAUUUCACUUCCCUUAACAUUUCUCUGCGGAGCUCAGGCUCGAGUAUAUCAGCUCCUUUGAUCAGGAAUUCUUACUUGAAUCAAAAUCUUGGGAUCUCCCAGUUGAGAGCUAUGGAAGAGUCGCACUCACAACAACAACGGCGGAUUUUUUACCCUGGGGUUAGUUUAUCCUCAGCUGAGAAUAAUAAUUCAUCGAUGUCAUUCAAUUUUCCCAGUGAAAGUAUGAAUGUGAAUGAUAUGUUACAUGCUAAGCAAGAGGUGCGUGAUCAAGCCGCUUGUCUUGAUGUGUCCGAUAGGAGGAUCAAAAGGAGGCCUGAUGAGGAAGAUCUGACAUGUUUGCAAAAUCAUAUUGGAAAUUAUAUGGUACAAUCGAGUUCAGGUUCCAUUGCUGCUAGUCAUCAAGGUCAAGUGCAGGCGGCUGCGUUUUUGAUGGUGACAAAUAAUCCUAGUAAUACUAGUACUAGCCAAUUGAUUAGGGGCCCUGAUUCUUUAUGGACAUUCCCCAGUAGUAUGACUGGAACUAAUCACAACUUAUUGCAUAGAGGUGGAGGAGCUUCAAUGUCUAGCAACGGACUACAUUUCAUGAAUUUUCCUACCUCAAUGGCCUUAUUGCCCGGUGUACAUGGGGCAAAUAAUGGUGGAGGAAGUUCUGGCGUGUUUGAAGGACAAUCAGGCAUGAUUGCCGGUUUAAACAGUUUAAGGCCGGCUGUCCCAGGUGGUGGAGCUUCUGAAGCUAAUCUUCAUCUCGGAGGAGAAGAAGAUUGGCAUGAUGCAACUACUAGUACUACUACUCACCACUCCUAGCUAAAUCAACCAAGUUUACUGCUUUAAUUAAUUUCUUGCUUUUUUUUUUUCUGUUACCCCUUCUUUUUGUGUACUAAUAUCGAUGCGUAUCAUCUAGGAUAGUCGAGACAUUAGGUCCCAGAUCGACACUCUUUGAAAGUUGACUUUGAUCUGUUGCUUGAUGCUGAGUAUUAAAUAGUAGUAAUAGUAUUAGGGUUUCCUGGGGAAAUUUUGAAGAGUUUAAGAGUGAAAUCUACUGCUGUUUGCCAAGGUCUCCUUUGGAGAAAAACUAUGGAGUGUCUUUUUCAGGCAUUACAUAUGUAAAUAUGCUGAUAUUUUCAAAAUAACACACAAAUGAUCAUGCUUUGCUUUCAAGUAACUACAGUUUGCAUGCAAUCAUUCGUUGUUAUGCGUAAUGUUCCUAAUAAACCUCUAAUUGAUGAAUCUGUUUCAAUAGUGUGAAGGAGCACUAUAUAUGUUUUACGGGUCAGAAACAUGAAUCGCUUUAUUGAUUCUAUUUACAUCACGCUAUAGUACUUACAACAAUCAUGGUACAACAUUGUAAUUAAGGUUCCAUCCGUAAGAGAAAAUGGUCCAAACCACAUACCCUAAGACGAGGGAGGGAGCCCACAUUUCUGAGCAUCAGCCUUUCAGGUUAGCUUUCAUGUCAUCACCAAUGAACCCUAGCUAUACUGAUCAUAUUGCCCAAAACUCGCAUCAGUUUAUCAAGUACUAGCGGAAUCAUUAUUCCUCUUUCUCAUAUAAAGUGGCUGCAGCCAGCGAAGAUGGUGCGUUUUAGUGACCCUACCACACAUGUCUGACCAACUUAAAGAUCUGGAUCGUACGUUGAUCAACUAAAUGCAUCUCUGUAUUAUAAUCUCUUGAUCAAUAACGUGGUUUUUUUUUUUUUGGAUGAAAAUGGACAUGGAUUGGAGUUGCUUGUGCUAUCGCUGGACUUUGUCUGUUGAAAUAUCGAUUCCUAGCUACUUAAUUGCCAUUUCUUCAAGAGCAUGCAUGUUGUCUGAGUUGUUGUUAGUUUCAUGUAAACCAGAUCUAUUCAACAUCUCUCCAGAAUGGCAAAAUAUUCUUUUAUCACCAUUCCUUCAUUUUUAUUUUUUUGCAUCACUUUUUCUCCUGCUGUUGAGUUGAUUACUUUUUUGGAAAAAUUAAGAAGAUAUCGGCCAAAUGAUUUUCUUGACAAUUUUUAUGCACUUUGCCUAAGUACCUCUGAGUAGUAAAAAUCAUUUUAAUGAUGAAAUAUCAAAUCCAUGUUAAUUUUUUUUUUUUUUGGUGAAAUUUGUUGGCCCUAGUCUUAGUUUUCAAGGGGUGCUGGGAAAGUUUCUCUAGCAAAAAGAAUGAUUGUAUUUGCAUGAAAAUAUAUUGGAGUAACUUAAAAUCUGUCCUGGAAUUGAUUUAAUGCUUACUUAUUUCAGUCAAGGUUAAAUUACUCAACUGCAGUGAUUCACUAUAGCGAAACUUGUUGCAUCAUUCAUGCCUAUAUGAGCAACCUGUGAAAGGAAACAAUCAAAUAUUCAUCUUCUGACUUCCAGGGAAAUAUAUGGCUACAUUUCUAAGAUUCUUUUCUGCCAACAGUGCAAGUAUAACCACUUAUAUUGUGUUACUGUAUGGUUGCUGUAAUCAUGAUCCACCAUGUCGUUUGGAGUUCAUUUGUGGAAAUAUUUGAAAUGGUCAUAAGAGAAGAAAUGCAUCAUUUUGUAUCAAUGAAAGGAAGAUAAAGCAAGCUAACUCCCCAGGAAACUCACUAAGGCAAGGGUAAAUAGAGCUGUGCAGUUCAUGUUCCCUGCGGGGGAUUUUCAGUUUCCUCUCUCUUUUAAGAUCUUGCAAAUGGAUGUAAUCUCCUUACAGGAAGGCCAUUUGCUUUGAGUUCAGCAAAAAUCUAAGAAACUAGAGAGUAGUUUGAGUUACGCAUAUUGUGGUACUCCUCAUGCAUCCAUUUCCUUACCAAUGCUUUCUGUUUUGUACGAAUUGGCAAGAUUAAUUACUAGCAACUUUCGCACAUGGUCUCUUAAUCUGUCACACCUUUAAGAUACAUAUAUAUAUAUAUGUUGAGGUUGUGAUACUUUAAACUUUAGUUUCAGAAAAUCUGGUAUUAAUGUUAUAUAAGCAUGUUAGUUGAACCAUUUAGUAGAAAAUCACUCAAAUUUGGACAAGAAAUCGUAGUUGAAUAUCAAACAUUGCGGGAAUGAAAGGAUGGAAAUUAAUUUCAUUUGGACACUUGAUGAUGCUUUAUCUAGCUAGCCACCAAAAGGCUAAUAAAGGUGACGUUAAUCACAUUUCAAAACUCUGUGAGCAGUUGUGCUUUUCGCUUUUCAUUCAGUAGUUUUGAUUCUUACAAUCCUCUAGUUAUUCCUAUGCUUCUUACUUCCCCUCUCCUUUUAAUACACAUCCGAUUGAGUACUUCUCAAAGAUUAAAGUUGUGGGUAUGAAACCACAAAAUCAUCACAAUUUAAGCAUUCCAAAAAUAGUUCUUUGACUAUAGCAAGAAAUUCACACUAUGUGCCCCUCCCUCCCGCCCUACUGUAGCAAGACAUCUGUUUUUCUUGAUUGCAGAUGACCGCCAAUUAAAUCAAAUUGAUGAAUGUGUAAUGUGCCUACUUAGAUUUGCCCAACCAGCGACCAGGAUAUGUUGUGCUCAACAUUUAUCAAAUAUUUUAUUCAUGUAUAUUACUUUUACCUUAUAAUAUAAUAUAAUUGUACACUAAAUAACGUAAAUAGGACAACAACCGAGUCGAAUCGUAUCAGACCUCAAUUGCAUUAGCCCAUCUCCCCCCAACCAAAACCAAAUGCGAUAAUAGAACUAUUGCUACAAGGAACAUUAAAUAAAUUAAUGCUUCCAAAAUUUAUUGAUUGGUUGAAAAGAUAACUAUUACUGCAAGGAAAUUACUACUUCCAAAAUUUAUUGAUUGGUUGAAAGGAUAACUAUUUUUUUUUUGUCACAAUAAAUUAUAUUCUACACCUACUCUUACUCUGCACUAAGGGAAAUGGGUGAACCCGAGGGGGUCAAUAGGAAAUUCGGAGGGAAUUGAACCAUCACCGGAUUAGACGGGUGCCUUUGCACUAGCCGGUGAAAUUUCCAAGAAAUUUUACAAGGUAAAGAUAACUAUUGCUACAAGGAAGAUUAAAUAACUUAUUGCUUCCAAAAUUUAUUGAUUGGUUGAAAAGAUAACUACUGCUGUUAGACUGAGAUAUGGUGUAGUAAGGCGUACGUUCCCGCAAUUUUUUGUUUUGUGUUUCCACGCUGAUUGGAAAUGCAGAAACGAACAACUACAAGCUCCUUUUCUACAGUGAUAAAUAAUGCAAUCGAUUUCACACCAACAAUGACAAAUGCAAGAACGUUUCUAAAUUGUUUGCAAACGAUCUUGACAGUUGACAUAACAUAUCAGAGUACAGUUCAAUUAUUUCUACUAUAUCAAAAGGACUAGGCGAUGCAUGCAUGGAUGAUUAAUCCUAGGACUAGCACUACAUUGUUCUUGUUCCGAGAGACCACUGAUCUUGUCGGUAUCAUACAGUGCAAGUUUUCGCACCGAAAUGUAACUUUUUUUUAACACAAGAAGAAACUCUAAUCUUACCAAAAGAAAGAAGGAAAGAGGGAGUCGAACCAUUCAAAUUUUUUCCUUAUCAAGAGAGAGAAGAGAAAUUAACUAAUGUCUCUACUAUUAUAUGUUUUGGUUUUGUUUUGUUAAAGCAAAACCCAAUGCAACGCAGCUUAUAUUUCUUCUUAGACACAAAUGAAACAACUUUUCAAAGAAAGACACAAAUGAAACUGAGUUAUAUGUCUUUUUGGAACAACAUGGUCAAUUUCUUGCACAAAAUUAAGAAAAAAGAAUUAAAUGGCGAAUAAUGUGAUUCAAUCUUAAUGAGAUAAUAUAGGCAAUAAAUCACAUGCUAUUUUUUUUUCUCAUCAUUGAAAGCUCUCCUUUUUCUUCACUAUUCCCUGCCGCGUUUUCGGGAGUCAAAAGUAGUACAGGAAACUGGGAAAGUCAAUAGAGCGGAGAUCCAAUGCACCCCACUUUCGUCAACAAUACCAUCCUUUUAAUCUAAAAGCCAAUAAGAUUCAGACCGAGUCCCAUGUCUCGGACCUUAAAGUAAUACUUUGUCCUGCGCUUGACUGUCUAGCUCGAAUAUGAUUGGCCAUUGUAAUUUGGAUGCAUCAACCAGCAAUAUAGCAGCUAAUGGAAAAAAAGAGAGAAGAUUUUUCGGUGCCUCUUUCUUCGUGAAGCAUAAAGAUGUCCUAUGUCCAAGUGCCCAUGUCCUAGAAGAAAUUUCGAGGCUUCUUGGUUGCAAAUUUCAAUCACCUUUCCAUACUUUCUAGAAAAUUGUCCUUUUCUGCAACACUUUCCUUUUCUCUUUCUUUUCUAAUUUUUAGUAUUACUUGUUUGUAUAACACUUUCCUUGACUCAAUGCAAAACACAUUCCUUGGGUUUCUGUCACGCUGUCCUAGAGAAGAAACUGAAGAAAACAGGAAGUGGUUUCUGCUUGUUCUAAAAUCUUGCAGGACCCCGGGAACAAAACAGGCAGAGAUUGCAAUUCUACUCCCAGAAAAAAAAUGGGUAAUUCUGGGAAUAAUCUUCUUGCUGUGAUGGCCAAGAACAUUGAUGUUAUAGCUAUGUAAGAAUGUAGUAGUAAUUUAUUUUUCUUCAAGUUCUAAUUUCUUUUUGCCUCGGUUCUUUUUGUAACGCUACUUGCAUUACAAUGUGAUUGUUGCUGCAUGCUUCUAUAUCACGGUAAUAUUUUUCUACUAAAAGCUGAAACCAAGAUUUGAUUUUUCUUCUCAAAUAGUUCCUUUUUUUUUUUUGCUAACUAAAAUCUGUUUGUUCCUUUUUCAGGCCUGUGAUUUCUCUCGUGUAUCCUCUGUAAGUCUCUGUCCUUUUGUCAAAAAGUUUGGAUCUUUCGUGAUUAUUUGUUGCAUAGUACUUCACAUUGCAAAUCUUUGAGGAAGAGGAAAGAAUUGCAAAAUCACUGCUUAGUUUGUUGCUUAAUAGUACAGCUAUAUUGAUCAAAUAAGGUAGGUUAAUGCCGGUGUUUAGAUUGUCCCAGUAAAUUUUUCCUUCUGAUGUUAUUUGAGAAUGGAUAUUCUGCUUUUAUGGUAGGAGGGAAAAUUAGAGACCCUUUACCUCUCUGCUCCCAAAAGGCAUUUGAAAUCAGAGUAAAAGUAACAUUGAGGGUUGGUGGGCUUGAUGGCUGUUACAUGUUUAUGUUUGAAGGAUAUCUUUAUUUGGUAUUAUGUGUAUUUGUUGCAUGGUUCAUAGGAUGGUAAAUGACAAUCUAACCUUGUCAUUGUGAUGUUGACAGGUACGCUUCUAUUAGGGCCAUAGAGACUAAAUCUCGUGCUGAUGACAGGCAGUGGUUAACUUAUUGGGUUCUUUAUUCUCUAAUUACUCUGUUCGAGCUUACAUUUUUCAAAGUUCUUGAGUGGUAAGUGUGCUGCAAACUCGAGUUUCUUACAUCUCUUAUACUGCUAAAUUAUGGUGAAUCGGCCUUGGACUGGCUGAACCUGCUGCCAAAUGCUUGAAGCUACUAGAACAUGAUCCACUUCACCGAAGUUACUUAUUUCCUAUUUUCAUUGCCUGGACCAGUCAUUUCCAAUAUUUCAGUCUCAUCACCUUGUUUUGUUCAUCACAUAUACAGGGCUGAAGUCCAACAAUAGCACUUCCUCUCAGUUACCAAGUGCAUAAUGCAAUUACAUCAGAUUAAGUAAAAUACAGUUGACAGGGGAACUAAUACCAAAUUUAUUUAUUUAUUUAUCAUGAGAUUACUACCUUUAUAUAGCUCAUUAGAAGCAAGUAUUAUGAGAAUAUUCAUGAUUUUACCACCUUAAAGCAUCAACGCCACGUAGACGUGUAACCAGUGUAAAAUGGAGGAACUGAGUUACAAUGGACAAAAUAUUUCAGCCUAAAUUGAGGAGCUUCUUUUUGUGCUUCAUCGCGUGCAUAUCCAUCGAUUCUUCGAUAUAAAAGCACAUUUCAUCCCACUGUAAAGACUGACGAGAUCACUCUUUGCGUGAAUGAUGUUUUAACUUGAUAUUUUCUGUCCUCUCAUUUAUCCUUAGAGAGUACAUGAGAGAAGUUUACAAAGUGAAUAACUUUUUGGCUAAAAAAAAGUUGAAAGCUGAGAGGAAUUUCCCCCCCUUUACAUCCUUAAUUUUGGUUUGCUUUGCCAUAAAAGAAUUGCCUGUGUGCUGCUGUAAGAAUGUGCUCAUGCAUGUCUGGAUAAAGUAUGUUGCUGUUGACCUGCCCUUACUAUUUGAUUUUCUUGUUGGCAUAAGGUUACCCAUUUGGCCCUAUGCGAAACUGAUUGGUAUAUGCUGGCUAGUCCUACCUCAGUUCAACGGAGCAGCUUAUGUUUAUGAGCAUUUCAUUAGACCUUUCUACAGGAAUCCACAAGUUAAGAUCUGGUAUGUACCUCGAAAGAAGGAUGUUUUCAGUAAACCAGAUGAUGUCCUUACUGCUGCAGAAAAAUACAUUGAAGAAAAUGGACCAGAAGCCUUUGAGAGAAUGAUAGCCAGGGUACGCUAAGCUCUGUCCUUUUUCAACAUUAUUUUCUAAAAUGUUUGUACCUUAAACGUCUAACUUUGGGUUUUAGAUUUUGCAUUUAGACCAGCUAAUUUUUUUGGGCGAGGAAAAACUGGGGAAAAAGGGGGUGAACCCUUGAUGUGGAAUCUUUAGUAGUGCAGUUUACCAAUAGAGAGAGCAUGAUUGGAAAUAAGUUCUUGAAUAGUAAAAUGUGUCCUGAAUACUGAGUAUCAGACCAUGAACAUAAAUUAGGUACUAAUGCUAUUCAUUUUUCAAAGUUACUACUUGCAAUGUUGAGCAUCUACAAUUACUACAAGUUACUGAUCCAUUUGUUGUUCUUUCAUAGCUCACAGUGAAUUAUAAUUACUGCUAACGAGCUGUACUGGUCUGAUUCAUAAGUGAGGUUGUUUUCCUCAGCUGAUAGACUGACAUGCGCAUUGCUAAAACAAUAACUAUUCAUUGCUCAAACACAGAGUGGGUUUGUUUGGACAAAGAAAAUUUGCAAGAUUUAUUUCAGAUUUUGUUUUGCUUGCAUCAUACACACAAUUCCCAAUCACCUUUUUAUCUCACAUACAUCACAUCACAAAAAGUACUACAGUAACUGGAUCAAAUAAAUCAUCCAAAUAAAUUCUUAUUGCUCAAACACAGUGUUUCUGAAUGCACAUAAUAUUUUGGGAAGGACCCCUUUCUUGACCAAUGGUACUUCAGCAUUUUCCCAUCGUUCAUAAAGUUUUCCUCUUUCUGCAAAUCCAUACAUAGGACAUAUGCUAUAAGACCUGUAUAUCCAGUUGUAAGAGAAUUAAUUUAAAACAUUCUUGUCAAUAAAGUAAUAUUUAUUCCUGUUCAUUUGCAUGAACGUUUCUUUUAUCUGUGUGCUGAUGUCAUGGCAGUCCAUAAUCGACGGUUUUGUGUUUCUGUGUACAGGCUGAUAGAGAAGCCCGGGCGAGGAGGAGCAACUAUAUGAUCUUUGAAAAUGAUAGAGGAUAUUAUUAACACCCUGUAUUUACUGGUACCGCACCACAAAGUUGGGGUACUUUUUCUGGCUCAGAACCAACUGGGCAGCGAGUAUAUGAUCACUUGACCAUCUUUCGUUGCAUUUUUCUGAUUGCAAAGCUUGUUGAAACUGAGGUUACCUGUAUAUCGAAGUGUGACUAAAGUACUACUAAGGUAUAUGGACGACUUGUCCAUCAGAAUAACUCUUUAUUCUGCUUAAUGAUCUUCGCUACUUCUCCAUCAGCAUUGUUCAACAAGUGCUGCAGCUGCUUGCUUUCAUUGAAAUCAAGCGUCAACAUUGUCAAUGCCAGGGGAGAAGGGAAUAUAAGUGAGAGACUUCGGGUUCGAGUCUUUCCACUUAUACUAAAAAGAAAAAAUUUAUUAAAAAAAAAAGCCUCAACAUUGUCAGUGGAUUAUGUUCUAAAUAGACAGAUUCGUAGGCUAUUGAUUUUUUAUGUUUCCAUAAUUGUGCCAUUGAUUUCAGGUUCUCAUCUUGUUUAGUUGCAUUUUUCUUUUAUUAGCUCCUUUUGGAUUCUUCCUUUCCUAGGGCAAUAAAGAAAUUGCUUCCCCUUGAAAACAUGUUUGAAAAGGUCUAUUCUAAAAGUGGAUUAAGCUCAAUUGGAUAUGUGAGAUUCAAGAAAAUCAAGCAAUCAAAAAAAUCAAUUUGAAAUGAUUUAUAUCUAGAUUUAUAAGUAUUCCACUCGAACGGACAUAGUUAUCAAUACGAUCUCUUUACAGCUAAGAUAUUACUUGCCAACGAUAUUUCCAAUUAAGAUAUUACUUGAUUUCCAAGUCCGUUAACUCAACUUUUAAGUCUUUAACGAAACAAAUUAGUAUAUUGUUGGAACUUGGGAAUAAAGAUAAACAAUUUGGCCAAUUAUACAAUUCGUUGAAUGUUGCAACACAAUUCCAUUACAAUCAUAGAGAAAAUGGGCUUAGCAACAACAUAUGUUUUUAUGUUUUGCCUUAUGAGGAGUCUUUCAUCCAGAGAAGGCAGAGAUAUACAAGAAAAAUCGUAUUGAUUUUAUUUAUUGGUUUUUGAAAUCUUUUGUUCACAUUUCUUGAGUUUAGUCAUAUCAUAGCUGUUCUUUUUCUUUUGCCAGAAAAAAAGGGAAUAGGUUAUGGUAUCAUACCUAUUCCACAGAGCUCAAACUCACAUUUGUCUCUCCCCAAAUUUCGUAUUUAGUUAGAUUACUCUGUUCUUACAAAAAUUCAUUAGACAAAGAGGUAGUGUAAUUGAAAUAUCGGGUAAACUUCCUUCAAAAAAAAUAUAUCGGGUAAACUAGCAAAUAUGGCUUCCCCAGACCUGUGGAUACCAAAAGCUUAAAAGGAGGUUUUUCAUAAUUAUUCCAAAGAUAAGGAGUGAUUACUGUAAUUUGUCAUAGUGUGACUCGUCCCUUUUUAGGCUUACAGACAGACUUUUGGCCUUAUUCGUUAAUUUUGCUCUAGAAAAGGACAAAAUCAGAACAUCCCAAUCAUCAAAAAAUCUCAGGUGCAAGAAUCUGACUUUUUGAUGCUGACAGGGCGUAACUCCGAAAAAGAGGGAUGUUAACAAAGGAGCGGAAACAAAAAAGAAAUCAGCAGAGAAAAAGAGAAAGAGACAAAGGAUGAGAACAAAAUGUUGAGGAAAUAAAGACAAAAUUUCGACAUCUUUAGAGCUCCUCUGGAACAAAAUUUGCUGAUUUUUAAUUAAUCUGCAAGACCCUUUUGUCCCAGGAAAGGGGGAAGAGAGCUUUGAUACC
Molecule: long non-coding RNA, 32349 nt
Filed under: Coffea arabica (coffee)
Lineage: Eukaryota; Viridiplantae; Streptophyta; Magnoliopsida; Gentianales; Rubiaceae
Description: long non-coding RNA (CARA_LNC007968)
Source: RNAcentral